GUAAAAUGUUUAUUUUCGCGAUCACGCGCGACAUCAAUACAACUUUCAACAACGGAUCUCUUGGCUCUCGCAUCGAUGAAAAACGCAGCGAAAUGCGAUACGUAAUGUGAAUUGCAGAAUUCAGUGAAUCAUCGAAUCUUUGAACGCACCUUGCGCCCCUUGGCAUUCCGAGGGGCACACCCGUUUGGUGUCGUGAAAUCCUCAAAACCCUCUUCUUUCUGGAAAAAGGCGUUUUGUACUUGUAGGUUCUAUGCUCGCUUUCUCCUUUGAAAGCGAGCUCCUCCCAAAUGAAUCAGUGGGGUCUGCUUUGCCGGUCCUUGACAUGAUAAAAUGUUUCUACGUUUUGUAUCCGGCGUCUACAAUACCCCUGCUCCUAAUCGUCUCAUGGACAACGAUGGUGCUUCCGGUCACCGCCAUCUACGUUGGCGGGAGGCUGGACCCACGAAAAAAAAACCUUGGGCUCAAAUCGGGUGAGACUACCCGCUGAACUUAAGCAUAUC
RNAcentral lists this ribosomal RNA (500 nucleotides) under Gymnomyces sp. 1 DL-2015. RNAcentral describes it as "eukaryotic LSU rRNA". The stretch from base 41 to 193 matches the Rfam family "5.8S ribosomal RNA". Lineage: Eukaryota; Fungi; Basidiomycota; Agaricomycetes; Russulales; Russulaceae. The record is from RNAcentral.